UACGGGGGAUGCAAGCGUUGUCCGGAAUGAUUGGGCGUAAAGGGUCCGUAGGUGGUUGGCAAAGUCUACCGUUCAAUACCAGGGCUCAACCCUGGGGCAGCGUUGGAAACUGGCCGGCUGGAGUGCGGUAGGGGCAGGGGGAAUUCCCGGUGUAGCGGUGAAAUGCGUAGAUCUCGGGAAGAACAACGGUGGCGAAGGCGCCCUGCUGGGCCGUGACUGACACUGAGGGACGAGAGCUAAGGGAGCGAAUGGG
This 253-nucleotide ribosomal RNA is filed under the name uncultured bacterium. Its description in RNAcentral is "partial 16S ribosomal RNA". It matches the Rfam family "Bacterial small subunit ribosomal RNA", at positions 524 to 776 of the family's 1533-position model. The record is from RNAcentral.